AGUCCGUUGUUAUCAUUGUGGUUGUCGUUGUCGUUGACGCUGACGCUGUCGGUGUCAUUGGCGAUAUCAUUACUAUCAUUUUUAUUAUUACCAGUAAUUUAAAACAUUUUGAAAAAAGAUCGGUAAUUUGGUCACUUAUGGGCUGAUUCGAUAGAGGGUCUCAUUUCAAUGCAUGUUUGCCCCUGCAAGCAUACAUUGUUUGCCCCUAUCAAGCAUGCAGCCUGAUAAGACGUAAUAUUUCUUCUUGCAUACAUCAUUGUGAGUGUUGUUAAUUAUCUUUUUUAUUUUCUAGGUGGAGGAGGAGGUGGUGGUGGUGGUGGUGGAGGAGGAGCAACUCCUCCCCCGCCCCCGGUGCCAACCAAGCCGGGUGGAGGAGGAAAUUGUAAGGAUAUCUGGCCAGAAAGUUUUUGCAAAAUAUACAAGCAAUCUUGCAGUCAUCCAGGCAUCGGACCCAACUGCAAAUACACAUGCCAAAUGUGCUAAUUACUGAACCAAGGCUAGUCUUGAAGACUUCGCGGGAGAAAAAAAAGUUGGAAGAAUAAUAAAUAUUGCUGAAAAAUGACCACU
Molecule: long non-coding RNA, 567 nt
Organism: Orbicella faveolata
Lineage: Eukaryota; Metazoa; Cnidaria; Anthozoa; Scleractinia; Merulinidae
Source: RefSeq, a predicted model, not a curated record